Molecule: long non-coding RNA, 4153 nt
Filed under: Citrus x clementina
Lineage: Eukaryota; Viridiplantae; Streptophyta; Magnoliopsida; Sapindales; Rutaceae
Description: Citrus clementina (C. clementina) long non-coding RNA (CCLE_LNC001937)
Source: RNAcentral
AUUCGAAUAUUAUUGGGAAAAUAACCAAAAAAAAUUGAAUCUUUCUAAAAUAUAGAACCCUAGAUGACCUCCUAAAUUUAGUUUAUACUUAAAAUCAACCGUACACACAAGUGACUUGUCAAUCAACUCACUUUUUUUUUUAAUACUGUUAUACAUGACUGUUAUUGAUAUUACAUCAGAUAUUACAAUUAAUAUUUACAAACAGAUUAUAUAAUUGGGACAUUCGUCAUGGCAUGUACUCCUCUAAAGCGAGACCCAGAUUCUUUAAACUCUCUCUAAUAUUCGCGGGGUAUCCACUUCACUCACAUUUCGUGAGGAAUAGACUGGUUCCACUCAAUUAUUUGAUAAUCGAGGGAGAACUAAAACUAACUAUCAUAAUGCUUUUAUGGAAGCUUGAACCCUUACUCUCAAUAUUGCAAGUGCAAGGGUUCUCCUACUGGAUCAAAGGCCCAUUGGUGUCAAUCAACCCACUUAAACAUUGGGAUUGUGAAAGGCAUAGGAUAUCUAAGAUGUCAAAAGUAAAUGAUAAGUUGUAGUCUCCACAAGUGUAUUUUUCACAAACACAAAGUUAUAGAGCACAUCAAUUUAACUUUCUUCAUACAUAAAGUAAAACAAAAAGAGUUAUUAUUAUUUGACUAUUUUAGAAAUUAUAAAAUAUCAAAUAAUUAUAAAAAAUAUUAGUGUAUAUUAUUUUGCUACUAUAUCUUUGUAAAAUGCUUCAUUUUACUAAUGUUUAACACUAUGCCCUUACUUUAAAAAUUAAUUAAAUUUUUAAUAAAAUAAAAGUCUAAGAAAAAAAAAUCAAAGCCAGCUGAAGAAUAUGUGUGAUUAAUUAUCUUUCUUCUGUGCUAAAUUGCUAAUCUUGCUCUCAUCAAAAUAUCAAAUUGAAACCGUUAUUAAAGCUUGAAGAUAGCAAAUUGAAAUUGCCAUCAAAGCUUGAAGAUUAAUAUGCUUUUUAUCAAUCUCAGUUUCUAUUUUGUCAGAAUCCUUUAAACUCGUAAUAAUAAAACCAUCAUUCCAUAACCAAAUCAAAAUAAUCAAUUGAAAAACAAAUCUAAAAAAAAUAAUAUGUAAAACACACUUCCAAAUUUAUCUUGUAUCCCUAGAGAUAAAUUAUAAACAAAAAUAAAGAAAUUCCACACCCACGACUAUCAUGUAAAUUCCUCCAAUUCUUCUUUGAGAUGACACUCAUCAAUGUCAUGCAUGGCUUGUAUGCAUUAAAAAAUUUUAAGAAGAAGAUGAUGACACUGGAUAUUUAGGACUCACGUAAUCCCUUUUUUUUUCCUUGUUUUUUAACCAAUAAUAACUGUACUGCCCUUGUAAUUUUAAAGUACAUACAAUUAUAUCUUGGUUUUGAAUGUAAGGAUACUUUUACCCCUAUAAUGUUAGCAUGACAUCAAUGUUGGAUUAUUUGUUUUGUGUUAAUAAAAACAUUGUAAAAUAAAAGGUUUUUCAAAGAUACAGUAGUCAUUUGAUAUUUUAUAAUUUUUGAAAUAGUUAAUAGAUAAUAAUCCAAACAAAAAUGAUUUGUUCUUUCACAUUCUCAUAGAAAAUGUGAACCAAGUUUUAUUAAUUUUUGUUCCCAUAAAAUAGAAAAUGACUCAAACGCAUAUUAGAAUUCAAUGCCGAGCUUUACUUUUGCCAAACAAAUAAUCAAUACUAAGAUUUAUUUUGUGCUUUUAUUUUUUUUUAUUUCUCUUACCGAAUAACUAUUAAUUCAGUACUCAUCUAAAUACUAAAUCAUUUUCCUUAAGACACACUUGACUUGAGUAUAGUUAGGGAUGGCAAUAGGGAGGCGAGUUGAGGGAAGGGGACCGACAUCUCGGUAUCUAUCCCCGAUAUCCCGCAUAUGUUCCUAUUCCUUCCCCAUCCAUGUUAGAAUUACCUGAGGGGAUGGAAUGGGGUCUCCAAAUAAUAACAAAGGGUCCCGAGAAUCCUAGAUCACCAAGUAGUUGAUACGUUUUUUUAGUUUCUUAACUUAAAUGAGAACGAUCAUGAAUGGGUCUUAUUUCAUUCUACUCCAUCAAACUUUGGGUAUAUAUAAUAUUUAAAUAAUGCUUUUUAAAAAAUUCAAAUAAUGUGAUUUUUUAUAUAAUAUUGACGUGAAUGUUAUCCGUGAGCAAUGAUACAUUGAUACCUCUUGGUCACUAACUAAGGCAUGAAAAACACUGCGAGCUAGGCUACUUUGCCCCUAAUGACGCGAUGUGCCACUAAGAUAUGAUGAGAUAAAGACAAGGUAGUUCUGGCUGCAGCGAAAAUAAUUUAGAAAUGAUAAGUGAGACCACGAGAGAGUGGCUUAGAGCUUGAUUUGUGGAUUAUAAGUUUGCGAGGUUGUGGACUUUAGGCAGUGGUUAAGUUUAAAUUACAUUAAAGUCUUUAUAUUAACUAAUAUUUAUCUUAUUUGUAUAAAUAUUUUGAUAUUGUUAUUUACCUAAGUAUCUAAUAUUUUACAAUUUAAAUUUUAUUAUUUAUUCCAUAAUAAUUCUACAAAAAUAAAAAUAAAAUAAAAAAUUAAAAUGGGGAAAAGGGAAGAUAGGGCAGUAAUGGGGAUUCCAACUUAUUCUCAUUCAUUCCCUGAAUAAGAAAUUAGAUAAAAAAAUAGUGUUUUCCCUCCCUCAAAUAAGAGAUUAAAUAUAAAAUUAUCUAUAUACCCUUCUCAAAUGAGAUAGGGUUAUUAUCAUUUCACUACUUCAAAAAUUAAUAAAUAUCAAAUGACUACAAGAAGUAUUGUCCCCUAUGACUUUCCUAUUAUAUUUUUACAAAAAAAAUAUCAUUUUACUACUUUUCUGUUACAACCGUUAGUUGACUAACAAAAUACCAAUUUUACCCUUCAUGAUUAAAAAAAAUACUUGAAGCUUAUUUACAAAAUCAGUUCUUUCACAUUUAUUGGAUCAUCCAAGUUUUAUUUCCAACGUUAGGAUAUAGAUAUGGAAUAAUUUAUAAGAUAAAUUUGUAAUCAAUAUAUCAUAAUUCUAGCAAAAAGAAUUAUGUUGGUAUUUUGUAUCUAUUUUUAUAAAUGGAUUACAAAUUCGUCUUAUUAAUGAUUCCAUUUUUAUAUUUUAAUGUUGGAAAUGAAACUUAGAUGAUCGAAUAAAUGUUGAAGAGCUGAUUUUGUAAAUAAGCUUCAAGUAUUUUUUUUUUUAAUCAUAAAAGGUAAAAUCGGUAUUUUGUUAGUCAACUAACUGGUCAACUAACGGUUGUAACAGAAAAGUAGUAAAAUGAUAUUUUUUAUAAAAAUGUAGUAGGAAAAUGAUAGAAGACAAUACUUCUUGUAAUCAUUUGAUAUUUGUCAAUUUUUAAAGUAAUAAAAUGAUAAUAACCCAAUGAAAAAAAUCCCUCAAGACCCCAUCCCCAUAGGAUUUUGCCUUCCCUAAUUGUGGUAUUCUAUGUUCUAUACACAAAAUUGAGACUAGUGUUAAACUUGAAGACGUAUUGGUUACCUUAGCAUGGGCUACUAUAAGGAUGAAAAUGAUAAUUACCUUAAGGCCAUGUUUGCUUCCAGGUAGAGGAGUGAGGAGAGGAAAAGAAUUUGAUUUUUUUUUUCCACUUUCCACUGUUUGGUUGGAUCAAAGUUUGAAGGAAUUGAAUUUCCAUUAAAAUUCAAUUUUCAUCAAAUUGAAGAACUUGUAUUCCGCAUCAAUGGGUAAGGAUUUCAAAUUCCUCAUCUAUUGGAUUAUUAAAUUUCAAUAUUAUCCUCUACAUAAAAUUAAUUUUAAAUAAGUUAAAGUGCAAAUAAUUUAUAUUUAUUUUCUUAAAUUAAUAGGAUAAACUUAUUUGAAAAAAGAAAAAGUAGUAAAGUGAUCGUCGGACAGUCACCGGAGACUCGUCGGAGUUACACCGGAGACGCGCUUCACCCAAAAUCGGUACCAAUGGAAUCCUCAUGAGCCGAUCUACAACUCCAUGAAAUUAGAAAUGCUAAUACACGUUGUUAUUUACCUCAAAUCGUGUUUACAUGUUUGGAAAAUUUUUAACUCUCAUAUUUUCGACCAUAUACUGUAUUUUCUGCAAGAUAACACUUCCCAUGAGUAAAUCGUCCAUUUUCGAUCAUUAUUAUGUAUUUAAUGCAAUAAAAUAAAUGGCGGUCAAUGCCGGCGGCGAUCAACUGUUGUGGAGGACCUGAUGCUGUAAUUUAAAAAUAAAUAAAAUUCUCUAU